UACGGGGGGGGCAAGCGUUGUUCGGAAUUACUGGGCGUAAAGGGCUCGUAGGCGGCCAACUAAGUCAGACGUGAAAUCGCUCGGCUUAACCGGGGAACUGCAUCUGAUACUGGAUGGCUUGAAUCCGGGAGAGGGAUGCAGAAUUCCAGGUGUAGCGGUGAAAUGCGUAGAUAUUGGGAGGAACACCAGUGGCGAAGGCGGCUCACUGGACCGGUACUGACGCUGAUGCGCGAAAGCGUGGGGAGCAAACGGG
RNAcentral lists this ribosomal RNA (253 nucleotides) under uncultured bacterium. RNAcentral describes it as "partial 16S ribosomal RNA". It matches the Rfam family "Bacterial small subunit ribosomal RNA", at positions 524 to 776 of the family's 1533-position model. The record is from RNAcentral.